GACGAACGCUGGCGGCGUGCUUAACACAUGCAAGUCGAACGGAAAGGCCCUGCUUUUGUGGGGUGCUCGAGUGGCGAACGGGUGAGUAACACGUGAGUAACCUGCCCUUGACUUUGGGAUAACUUCAGGAAACUGGGGCUAAUACCGGAUAGGAGCUCCUGCUGCAUGGUGGGGGUUGGAAAGUUUCGGCGGUUGGGGAUGGACUCGCGGCUUAUCAGCUUGUUGGUGGGGUAGUGGCUUACCAAGGCUUUGACGGGUAGCCGGCCUGAGAGGGUGACCGGCCACAUGGGGACUGGGAUACGGCCAGGACUCCUACGGGAGGAAGCGGUGGGGAAUAUUGCACAAUGGGCGGAGGCCUGAUGCAGAAACGCCGCGUGCGGGAUGACGGCCUUCGGGUGGUAAACCGCUUUCGCCUGUGACGAGGCGUGAGGGACGGUAAUGGGAAAGAAGCACCGGCUAACUACGUG
RNAcentral lists this ribosomal RNA (467 nucleotides) under uncultured bacterium. RNAcentral's name for it is "partial 16S ribosomal RNA". It matches the Rfam family "Bacterial small subunit ribosomal RNA", at positions 28 to 507 of the family's 1533-position model. The record is from RNAcentral.